UUCAGUAUCAUAAUCAAUGUUGCCAAACUGCAAGGCAUGAUGUGCAGUACUGCGCUUCACCUAUGCUAGUAGAGAAGGUGGAUGCAUGAAAUGAAAUCAAAGUGAAGAAGCACCUUGUGAGUAACGUGAAGGAUGGGAAGAAUGACAGCAAGGUUUCUACAAAAAUGUUGGUGAGAAUUCUGCUGAGAUUGUAGAUGCCUCCAGUGAUCAUGUACACUGUAUUUGUGGAUGCCUCAACUAAUACAAAGAUGCCAGGGGUUUGAUGGAGGAAAGUGGGUAUAUUUUGCAAUCCAGUCUGUGAUGUUCUCUCAUUUGAAGAGAAGCUAAAGGAACAUAAUGAAUUACAAACAUCAUGUCUCCUCCUUGAAGAAUGAAGCAGCCUCACUCAGUGUUUUUCUGCUUGGCUGAAGACAUAGGGGAGUAUAUAUUCCCAGUGCGUGCUAGUGGCUGAAGGCAGAAGUUACAGUUUGCGCAGAACUAAACUAAUGAAAAUACAACUGUAACCAUUCUUGCAAUGGAUAGCAUGAAAAUCAGUAGGAGUUACAGUAGCAGUACAAGUCUUAUCCUUGAAUGAAUGAAUGAAAGAAAGAAAAAAAUAAUUAUGAUAAUAUUUCAAUUAACAUAGCACCUUUAAACCCCAAUCACCGACUAGGACCCCAUUGUGUUAGGUGCUGUAAACAUAGAACGAAAAACAGCCUCUAUCCCAAAGAGCUUACAGUCUAACUAUGGAUUAAACUCACCUUCUUUUACUGAUCCAAGUGUUGCCAUAGUCUCCUCGUUUUUAUAGCACUGUAACAGUACCCUUGAGAUCAGUUGUUGCCUCACCCUUUUAGAGGUUAAUGUUUGUACUGAUGUCCAGUUGACCUGACAGCCCCAGAAUCUGGCUACACAGAACUAAAACUACAAAGCUCUAUCUUGUGGGGAGCCUUGGGGUGGAUGGCAAGGACACUCACACCGAGGACAAAGUAAAUCCUUAGAUAUCUUUAUUAGAACAAUGGACAAAGACAGAAAAGCUCCAAGCCUCAUCAAAAGAUAAGAGGAAUACAGUACUGAGGCUCUCUGUGGUUUCAUUCUUUGCAUAAGCUCUUAGAUCUGCAUACUCACACCCUUCCUUGAGGACCUGGUAAGAAAAGACAAAGGACCUCCCCUGUCUCUGGCAUACCAGUCAUUCGAAUGGCCCAAGUUCCUCAAUGAGUUGAAGGGUCAGAUGGUAGAAAGUGCACAGCAAAAAAUGGAGACCUGGAAAAAAGCCUCAUCCAUAUGGUGGGUGGUCCUAUUAUAGUGCCUGAGCUACUGUCCAACCCACCAUGCCCAAAUCUAGCUUCCUCACUCACAUAAUGUUGAGAUGUACUUAUUCUGUAGGUUAAUGUAUAGAUAUGUCUAUAUACCAUCUUAGCUCAUUGUCAUGCCUGUCACCUCUUGCUUACACAGAAUUGUGGCUAUUACAUCCAUGUUCCUUGCAGUAGCAUUUACUGGUAAAUUGUAACUCCUACCAAUUGAGCAAACUAUCCAUAGUUCCUAAAAUCUAAAGGUAACCGUUAAACCAUUUAUCUAUGCCAAAGGUUACAGACCCACUUAAGCACACUUAUGCAAACUAUGCUAACUUCCUUAAGCUAAAAGUUUUACAGGCCUGCAGUUUCCUUGCAUUACAGCUGAAUAUAAUGAAGGCAAAAUAUAAUAAAGGCAAGGCAGUAAAUAUAAUAAAAGCAAGCUAGUCCUAUGGGCUACACAGUUGAUUUACAGACAUGAGUAAGAUUAGCCCACAUUAGGAAGUAAUUAUAAAAGAAAGGGAAAACAACAAAGUAAUAUUUAACUAAAACAUUAUUUAGCAGAGUUUCUUUCCUCAAAGCCCCUUCCUCUUCCUUUGCCUUCAGUCAUAAUAGUAUGGUUGAGGUCCUGAUCAAGAUCAUGGCAUCAUUGUGCUAUGCCCUAUUUAGAAAAAGAAUAAGAGUGAUUCCCUGCCCCAAAGAGAUUAGUGUAAGUAGAGGAAAAAAAAGACAAAGGUUGGGAGAAAGGAAAUAAUAUCUCCAUUUUACUGAUGGGGGAUUGAGGCACAUAGAAAGCAAAGAACCUCCUCAAGAUCCAGUGCCCCAAUCACAAGACUAUCCUUCCUGGGAUUGCUUGAAUAAGAAGGUGUGAUUGGGUCCACUGUUGUUCUUGUUAGGCAGACAUUUG
Long non-coding RNA from Gopherus evgoodei (Goodes thornscrub tortoise), 2175 nucleotides. RefSeq lists it as uncharacterized. The transcript is spliced from 4 exons. Lineage: Eukaryota; Metazoa; Chordata; Testudines; Testudinidae. The record is from RefSeq and is a predicted model, not a curated record.